RNAcentral lists this transfer RNA (61 nucleotides) under Thermoprotei archaeon. RNAcentral describes it as "tRNA-Trp". It matches the Rfam family "tRNA", at positions 7 to 64 of the family's 71-position model. From Rfam's summary of the family: Transfer RNA (tRNA) molecules are approximately 80 nucleotides in length. Their secondary structure includes four short double-helical elements and three loops (D, anti-codon, and T loops). Further hydrogen bonds mediate the characteristic L-shaped molecular structure. tRNAs have two regions of fundamental functional importance: the anti-codon, which is responsible for specific mRNA codon recognition, and the 3' end, to which the tRNAs corresponding amino acid is attached (by aminoacyl-tRNA synthetases). tRNAs cope with the degeneracy of the genetic code in two manners: having more than one tRNA (with a specific anti-codon) for a particular amino acid; and 'wobble' base-pairing, i.e. permitting non-standard base-pairing at the 3rd anti-codon position. The record is from RNAcentral. Lineage: Archaea; Thermoproteati; Thermoproteota; Thermoprotei.
GUAGCUCAGCCAGGCAGAGCGGCGGGCUCCAGACCCGUAGGUCGGGGGUUCGAAUCCCCCC